RNAcentral lists this ribosomal RNA (257 nucleotides) under uncultured bacterium. RNAcentral describes it as "partial 16S ribosomal RNA". It matches the Rfam family "Bacterial small subunit ribosomal RNA", at positions 793 to 1055 of the family's 1533-position model. The record is from RNAcentral.
GUCCACACGGUAAACGAUGAAUACUCGCUGUUGGCGAUACAAUGUCAGCGGCCAAGCGAAAGCGUUAAGUAUUCCACCUGGGGAGUACGCCGGCAACGGUGAAACUCAAAGGAAUUGACGGGGGCCCGCACAAGCGGAGGAACAUGUGGUUUAAUUCGAUGAUACGCGAGGAACCUUACCCGGGCUUAAAUUAUGCAUGAAUAAUCCGGAGACGGAUUAGCCGCAAGGCAUGUAUGAAGGUGCUGCAUGGUUGUCGU